CUGUUCAUAUUUAAUUGUAAUAUGAACCAAUGAUUUUUUGAUUGCUGAUUCUAAGAGAGUCUUUGUGGAAAUCCUGUUUGGCUUUUUGUCAUUUUAAUUCUCUUUUCCAUUUUCCAGAACAGUUCUCCACAGUCGCUGUCCACAUGGGUCAGUGGGACCAAGCAGCACUCUGCCAAUGUGUGGACUCUGACCAGCAACAUCCAGCAAGACCCAGGCAGCGUUUUCUAUCUCCCAGCUGGAGUUUUUUGUUUGUCUGUGACUGGAGAGUCAGAUUUUUGUUGAAGCUGGAGGAACAGAGAGGUUAAUACACGCUACUGAUCCCUGAUGGGAGAAUCAUCACCUCUGCCAACAAAGAAGCCUGGUGGAUAUUUGUUUACAGUCUGAUGAUGGGACAUCAUGCUCUGCAUCUUCAAAGUUUGUCUCUUGAUUAUUAUUCAUACACAGUAAUGUGAAGUAUGCUUAUAUCUACUAUAACUGAACCAACCUGGUGCUCUUCAUUUAUGGAGGCUGUUGAGUCUGAAUGUUGGAUGUUGUGUAUCUCGUGUUCUCUGGGCUUUGUUGUCCUCAGUCUUUUUGCAGGAUCAGAAAACAAAACCAGGAUGACCGUAAAUGUUUCUUCUCCAGUUGGAUGAUGAUAAGACCGUGACACAGUAUGCCACCUUUAGUCUUGUGAUGAAGCAAAGCUCAGGACGAAGUGUGAUUAAAUGGUACCCACAUGUGUGCUGCUGAGAAGGAUGUACAAGGGCACCUGCAGCCAAAUCCAAGCCUCCUCAGCAACUUCAAGUCUGUCAGCGUGCUGAGGUCACAGAAACAAGAAAAGAAGCUUGACUUCAGAGUGUUGUUUACAGUUUUCUAUCAUCAUGAUCUCCCCUGA
This is a long non-coding RNA of Pelmatolapia mariae (spotted tilapia), 874 nucleotides long. RefSeq lists it as uncharacterized. The record is from RefSeq and is a predicted model, not a curated record. NCBI's taxonomy places the organism in Eukaryota, Metazoa, Chordata, Actinopteri, Cichliformes, Cichlidae. The transcript is spliced from 3 exons.